RNAcentral lists this ribosomal RNA (308 nucleotides) under uncultured bacterium. Its description in RNAcentral is "partial 16S ribosomal RNA". It matches the Rfam family "Bacterial small subunit ribosomal RNA", at positions 503 to 809 of the family's 1533-position model. The record is from RNAcentral.
AGGACAGCAGUAGCCGCGGUAAUACGUAGGGUGCAAGCGUUAAUCGGAAUUACUGGGCUUAAAGCGUGCGCAGGCGGUUAUAUAAGACAGAUGUGAAAUCCCCGGGCUCAACCUGGGAACUGCAUUUGUGACUGUAUAGCUAGAGUACGGCAGAGGGGGAUGGAAUUCCGCGUGUAGCAGUGAAAUGCGUAGAUAUGCGGAGGAACACCGAUGGCGAAGGCAAUCCCCUGGGCCUGUACUGACGCUCACGCACGAAAGCGUGGGGAGCAAACAGGAUUAGAUACCCCUGUAGUCCUGUCUCUUAUACA